Molecule: long non-coding RNA, 1285 nt
Organism: Lemur catta (Ring-tailed lemur)
Lineage: Eukaryota; Metazoa; Chordata; Mammalia; Primates; Lemuridae
Exons: 6
Source: RefSeq, a predicted model, not a curated record
UCUCAGUGUGUGGGACUCUUUGUUAUUGAGUUGAGGUGGAGGCUCAGCUUCCUGCUGAACUCCAGUGCCAUCAGGGCUGCACAGAUGACACUAGCUCUGCCUCAGACUGUCUUGGUAAGUCUUUUGCAUGCUGGGUGGGUGUGGGGGCUCAGCUUGCCUCUGGACCCCAUUGAUACUACAUUGCCAAGGGAACCUUAACAUUAUUUCCUUUUGUCAGGCAGGGGAUGGAGAACAGCUUCCUACUUUGUCUGUUGCUACCACUCCAAAGUGAAAAUCAUAAUGCCUACUUUUGCCAGAUGGGAAAUAGAAGAUGAGCUCCUUCGUUGGUGCCAGUAAUACCAGCAGGCAAGAACAUCAAAGCAUGGCUGCUUCUGUUCAGUGGAUAUGAAGUAGAUAAUCUGCUCCCCGAUGGACUCCACUGGAACCAUCCUGAUAUUUCACUGCAGCUGCUGGUCCUUACUGGAGGCUUCCGCAGCACUCUCUCCAGAGCAUAUGGGAAGAAAUUGAAGACCCAAGGAACUCAUCAUUGUGUUAUUCCCCACACCACAGGAUUUUUGUGCUUUCAAUGUGGUGAAGUUGAACACUAUAAGUGAGAGAUUGAAGAAAGCACAAGAAAGGUAUUGUAGAAAAAUUCAAACAAGUCAAUCUAUUUUUACAGGCACAAGCAGCAUCUGAAGAAUACAGAGAACUUCACUGAGAAGUCAGAUGGAACUCAGAAUGAAAGAUCUUGAAUCUGAAGUCUCCAACAGGAAAACUUCUUGAGAAGACUUUCAUUAUACUGAAUUGGAAAAAUACAAGCAUAUCUAUCAAUUAGAAUUGGAAGCUAGAAAAUACUUGUCAAACAAAAUUAAACAUCUUCGCAGAACUACUGAGAGACUAGCAGCAUUCAGUAGCAAUCUUUUUGUGGAGACACAGGAGACCAGAACUUUCUUUACCACUCAUGGACAGUCCUAUAGUCACCUCUUGGUGGAAAACUUAAUAAUGGUUUAGGUCUUCACAGAGAAUUUACUUGAAAAGAAUACUCAACAGUCUCUUUUUCCUGCCCAUGGACUUCACAUACCAGCGUGAAGAAAAACUUGAGUAAGGUGCUGCUGGAUACUCUCUUGUGGAAGAGCUUCUUCUCUAGAAUUCACUGAUGAGUCAAAUCUAAAUGAAGACAUCAUGGCAAUAUGUGCCAGUUUUUUUUUAAAAAUGUACAAUGAAAGAUUUUUAAGUAGAUCUUGCAAAUGAAAGCCAGCUUUACAUCCUCGGACUGCCAGAAUGGCAGCUGUUUAUAAUUUUAAUU